AUUGAACGCUGGCGGCAGGCCUAACACAUGCAAGUCGAACGGUAACAGGAAGAAGCUUGCUUCUUUGCUGACGAGUGGCGGACGGGUGAGUAAUGUCUGGGAAACUGCCCGAUGGAGGGGGAUAACUACUGGAAACGGUAGCUAAUACCGCAUAACGUCGCAAGACCAAAGAGGGGGACCUUCGGGGCUCUUGCCAUCGGAUGUGCCCAGAUGGGAUUAGCUAGUAGGUGGGGUAACGGCUCACCUAGGCGACGAUCCCUAGCUGGUCUGAGAGGAUGACCGGCCACACUGGAACUGAGACACGGUCCAGACUCCUACGGGAGGCAGCAGUGGGGAAUAUUGCACAAUGGGCGCAAGCCUGAUGCAGCCAUGCCGCGUGUAUGAAGAAGGCCUUCGGGUUGUAAAGUACUUUCGGCGGGGAGGAAGGGAGUAAAGUUAAUACCUUUGCUCAUUGACGUUACCCGAAGAAGAAGCACCGGCUAACUCCGUG
This 490-nucleotide ribosomal RNA is filed under the name uncultured bacterium. Its description in RNAcentral is "partial 16S ribosomal RNA". It matches the Rfam family "Bacterial small subunit ribosomal RNA", at positions 30 to 507 of the family's 1533-position model. The record is from RNAcentral.